RNAcentral lists this unclassified non-coding RNA (1257 nucleotides) under Hevea brasiliensis (rubber tree). Lineage: Eukaryota; Viridiplantae; Streptophyta; Magnoliopsida; Malpighiales; Euphorbiaceae. The record is from RNAcentral.
AAAAAAAAAAAAAAAAUGAAGAGAGAACUAGAACAAGGGUUCGCAUGCUAAUGUUUAACAGUUCGAAACAACAUAAAUAAUAGCCAUUAUCCCAACCGUUCAGGAACUACAAAAACAAAUUUUCCUUUCACAAUUUACUUAUAGAAAAGAUGUCCCAAUGCAUGAGACACCUAGGCUAACAUUGUGAACUGUAAGCCCUUCUCUUGGCUAUUCGCAUAUGGUUGAACCUGUGAUCAUCACCAAGUCACUGUGGAUUAAAAAAAAGAGAGACCGUAUUCUACUUCUAAAUCAAUGUUAUGGUCAUUUUACUUUCACAUUUAAACUGGAUAAUUUUAGUUUCUUAUAGCCAUUCAUUUGCCUUCCAUGUUGAUAAUUUACAACUGUUCCAAAACUACUUGAUAACAGGGUAUGUGCUAAGUUUCGGUUAACGAGUACAGGGGUCUUGGUGUCGAAGCAGUAGAUUUGAGCAUGGGCAUCAAGGAACUUAUGACAAAGUUCAUCAAGUGAAGGAGAUUCGCAUAAGUUAUUUUAUAGUAAGAUGUGACGUCUUAUCCUAAUAAAAUUUGGAUUAUGAUAUUAUAAUGAAAAUAGAGAUUUAUUGGGAAUAACAUUAUAUCCAAUAAUCAAAGUCUAACCAGGAUCAGAAUUUUUCAAGCACAAAUGUGCCAAGCAAAUAUAUCAAUUUGAUUUCGGUGAUUACUUUCUCAGAGAAAGCCUCUGAUCACAGAUAGCAAUUGUACUCAAACCUUUGAUUUCGGUGAUUACUUUCAAACCUGGAAGAAACACAAGAAAGUGAUCAGGAAAAUAAGUGACACAAGAAGAGCGAUAUUCAUAUCCCUGCUUUCAUCACAGAGAUACUGAAUAUAUAGAAUAAUUGUCUUGUAGAUUCUUCACGGAUUAAAACUUUUCAAACAGGACAAUAUAUAUCUUACCGUUCUAUUGCUACACUAACUUUACCUCUCCAUUUGUCAGGCAGUUCCUCCCCCUUCUUGUUUUGAAAGAACUUGGCGAACGAGGUUUUUUAAGUUGUAUUUCUUGUCUUAAUUGACAUAUUAUGACAGCUGGUUAUAUAUCUCAAUUACUUUAUCAGGAAAUGUAAAGAUGUGUACCGGAUACAUUUAGCAACCAAGAUCCAACUCACUACAUGUAAAGCUCGAACGAAUCUGCUCCAUAUGAUCCUAAAUUAUUAGUAAAAGCUGUGUACGGCAAGUUAAAAGAAUGUCAAGGCUCAAUCACCAAAGCAUCAUGGAGACCUUG